CCUACGGGUGGCAGCAGUGGGGAAUAUUGCACAAUGGGGGAAACCCUGAUGCAGCGACGCCGCGUGAGUGAAGAAGUAUUUCGGUAUGUAAAGCUCUAUCAGCCGUGACGAAAAUGACGGUACCUGAUUAAGAAGCACCGGCUAACUACGUGCCAGCAGCCGCGGUAAUACGUAGGGUGCAAGCGUUGUCCGGAUUUACUGGGUGUAAAGGGAGCGUAGACGGCAGUGUAAGUCUGGAGUGAAAUGCCGGGGCUUAACCCCGGAACUGCCUUGGUAACUGUGCAGCUAGAGUGCAGGAGAGGUAAGUGGAAUACCUAGUGUAGAGGUGAAAUGCGUAGAUAUUAGGAAGAACACCAGUGGCGAAGGCGGCUAACUGGACUGUAACUGACGUUGAGGCUCGAAAGCGUGGGGAGCAAACAGGAUUAGAUACCCUGGUAGUC
Molecule: ribosomal RNA, 440 nt
Filed under: uncultured bacterium
Lineage: Bacteria
Description: partial 16S ribosomal RNA
Rfam family: Bacterial small subunit ribosomal RNA
Source: RNAcentral